This 240-nucleotide unclassified non-coding RNA is filed under the name soil metagenome. RNAcentral describes it as "partial contains 5.8S ribosomal RNA, internal transcribed spacer 2, and large subunit ribosomal RNA". The record is from RNAcentral.
AACGGUCUAUACCUGCGGUACCUGCGGAAGGAUCAUCAUUGAAAAAACAAAUUUCAAUAACUAACUAUUUUUGAUUUGAAAAGCUUCUUUUUAAAUAUAAUUUGUGAUAGGUAUAAUUAAUUUGUUGUGGCCUCGCUUUAAAGGAAAAAAUUUGGAGGGAGGAGAUAAUACUACACUUAUUAAUUAUUAUGAAUUAUUAUAUUUAUAAUUAGCUUUUAUCAAACUUUUAUUUGUCUGAUU